RNAcentral lists this ribosomal RNA (253 nucleotides) under uncultured bacterium. RNAcentral describes it as "partial 16S ribosomal RNA". It matches the Rfam family "Bacterial small subunit ribosomal RNA", at positions 524 to 776 of the family's 1533-position model. The record is from RNAcentral.
UACGUAGGGGGCAAGCGUUGUCCGGAUUUAUUGGGCGUAAAGAGCGUGUAGGCGGUUCGGUAGGUCCGUUGUGAAAACUCGAGGCUCAACCUCGAGACGCCGAUGGAAACCCCCGAACUAGAGUCCGGAAGAGGAGAGUGGAAUUCCUGGUGUAGCGGUGAAAUGCGCAGAUAUCUGGAGGAAUACCGGUGGCGAAGGCGGCAUCCUGGACCAUUACUGACGCUGAGGUGCGAAAGCUAGGGGAGCAAACGGG